ACGUAGGGGGCGAGCGUUAUCCGGAUUCAUUGGGCGUAAAGCGCUCGUAGGCUGCCCGCUAGGUCCGGGGUCAAAUCCGGGGGCUCAACCCCCGCACGCCCCGGAUACCGGCGGGCUUGAGUCGGGUAGGGGAAGGCGGAAUUCCAGGUGUAGCGGUGGAAUGCGCAGAUAUCUGGAAGAACACCGGUGGCGAAGGCGGCCUUCUGGGCCUCGACUGACGCUGAGGAGCGAAAGCUGGGGGAGCGAACAG
This 250-nucleotide ribosomal RNA is filed under the name uncultured bacterium. RNAcentral describes it as "partial 16S ribosomal RNA". It matches the Rfam family "Bacterial small subunit ribosomal RNA", at positions 525 to 775 of the family's 1533-position model. The record is from RNAcentral.